GAUGAACGCUGGCGGCGUGCCUAAUACAUGCAAGUCGAGCGAACAGACGAGGAGCUUGCUCCUCUGACGUUAGCGGAGGAGGGGUGUGAAACACGUGGAUAACCUACCUAUAAGACUGGGAAAACUUCGGGAAACCGGAGCUAAUACCGGAUAAUAUAUUGAACCGCAUGGUUCAAUAGUGAAAGACGGUUUUGCUGUCACUUAUAGAUGGAUACGCGCCGCAUUAGAUAGUUGGUAAGGUAACGGGUUACGAAGGGGACGAUGCGUAGCCGACCUGAGAGGGUGAUCGGCCACACUGGAACUGAGGCAGGGUCCAGACUCCUACGGUAGGCAGCAGUAGGGAAUCUUCCGCAAUGGGCGAAAGCCUGACGGAGCAACGCCGCGUGAGUGAUGAAGAUCUUCGGAGCGUAAAACUCUGUUAUUAGGGAAGAACAAAUGUGUAAGUAACUAUGCACGUAUUGACGGUACCUAAUCAGAAAGCCACGGCUAACUACGUG
Molecule: ribosomal RNA, 497 nt
Filed under: uncultured bacterium
Lineage: Bacteria
Description: partial 16S ribosomal RNA
Rfam family: Bacterial small subunit ribosomal RNA
Source: RNAcentral